AGGUACUUUUCAGAAGAGACGCGGAAGUAAACUGAUAACUACUUAACUGAGACAUGGUGCAAAUACAUCUAUACUUCGAUUAAGCGCUACUUUUUGACGGUAAAGGAUGCAAAUUCUAUGGCUUUAUGUAUGCUAUGUACUAUUAAGGCUUGAAGCUGUAAGCUCCAGCAGUACAUGGCAGUGGCAAUUCGAUAGAUCCGUAUGCCUCAACGAUGGCGACAACGCUACAAUGACGUGGAAUGUGACUCUGGAGUCAGGCCAGAGUUUGUCAGGAAUUGAGAUCUGGGAGCAGUCUACAGCGCCUGGAGCAACACCGUCCAAGAUGUAUACUUAUCUUGUUGGACCUGAACCAGCCUACAGUGACCGAGUGAUGUCCAUAUCGCUCACGGAUUCAAGCCCUGUCUACCAUAUUGUGUUUACGCUGGCGAAUGUUAGCAACAAUAAAGAUGGAUUCGGCACUAAAAGCCUACAGUGUAGAGUUGCAGCAGGAAGUUUGCCAACCAUUACAGGACAACCCCCGUUAGACACCGUGUUUAACGUGCAAGUCCCACCCAGCAGCGUUGUCAUUUCUCCACCGAGUCCUACCGUGACCGAGCGUGACCAAGUGAACCUGACGUGUUCAGCUGAUGGUACUCCUCCACCAAACUUCACAUGGAUCAGCCCUCAGGGGCACACCGUAGCACACGGACCGUACUACAACAUUCCCAUCGUGCACCGCAACAUGUCAGGGGUCUACACAUGCGUCGCUACUGAUGGGUGUGGACGGAAUCACACCAGGGAUGCGACACUAGCAGUAAGAUACAAGCCUGACAAUACCUCUUUGACCAUACUGGGUGGAAACGCAUCUGCUCAGUGUGGAUCAAAAAUAUCAUUUAACUGUACUGCUGACGGCGUUCCAAAACCAAAUAAGUACUCUCUUUACUUGGGGAAUCAGGCGAUGAAGACGGACACCAAUGGUGAAUUUAGUAACAUCCAGCUGAACACUUCAGGAGAACAUGUGUUCACGUGUGUACCUACUAAUGAAAUUGGUGAAGGACUAAAUAAAACUGUGAUCGUAAACGCAUCAGAGGUACUUCCUGUAGUGUCCGUCGACAUCCCGCCCAAUGGUAGAAUGGUCAAAGGGUCAAGUGUUACUUUGACAUGUGACGGUACAGGACCGGUACCGUUACAAAUCAGCUGGUACAAAGACAAUAUUUUCAAUGCCUCGGGAAAAACCCUCACGAUAUCGAAAGUCACAGUACAAGACGAAGGGAACUACACUUGUAAUUUGUCAAGUUCAUGUGGAACAACGUUGAACACCUCGUUUAUUGGCGUUGAUUACAUUCCAGAGAACACAACUCUUCAAAUCAACAAAUCGAAUAAUACUAGUAUAAUCGCAUGCGUUGGAGACAUUAUCCUGCUAAACUGUUACGCUGAAGGCAAGCCUUCAGUUAUCACUUAUUCCCUUCUGCUGAAUGGUGAACAGCAUAAGGCUAAUCGAAGUGGAGUUUUUCUUGUCUUCCCCGGCACUCCUGGAUGGAACAAUUUUUCUUGCGUUCCUAACAACACUAUCGGCAAAGGGCCAGAAGCACUUGUUCACAUCAUCGUUCCAGUCACUCCCAGCAGCGUUGAAAUUUCCCCACCGAGUCCUACCGUGACCGAGCGUGACCAAGUGAACCUGACGUGUUCAGCUGAUGGUACUCCUCCACCAACCUUCACAUGGAUCAGCCCUCAGGGGAACACCGUAGCACACGGACCGUCCUACACCAUUCCCAUGGUGCACCGCAACAUGACAGGAAUGGUGUACACGUGCGUGGCUACUAACGGCUGCGGGAAAAACCUCACCAAGGAUGCUAAUCUUGCUGUACAAUACAAACCUGUGAACACUUCCCUGACCAUACUUGGUGGAGAUGCGUCUCGUCAAUGCGGAUCGAAUGUAUCAUUUAACUGUACUGCUGACGGCGCACCAAAGCCGCAUAAGUACUCUCUCUACUUGGGAAAUCAGACGAUCAAGACUAACACCAAUGGUGUAUUAAGUAACAUCAAGCUAAACACUUCAGGAGAACAUGUAUUCACGUGUGUACCUACUAAUGAAAUUGGUGAAGGACUAAACAAAACUGUGAUCGUAAACGCAUCAGAGGUACUUCCUGUAGUGUCCGUCGACAUCCCGCCCAAUGGUAGAAUGGUCAAAGGGUCAAGUGUUACUUUGACAUGUGACGGUACAGGGCCGGUACCAUUACAAAUCAGCUGGUACAAAGACAAUAUUUUCAUUGGCUCGGGAAAAACCCUCACGAUAUCGAAAGUCACAGUACAAGACGAAGGGAACUACACUUGUAAUGUGUCAAGUUCAUGUGGAACAACGUUGAACACCUCAUUUAUUAUUGUUGAUUAUAAACCAGAAAACACCACCCUAAGGGUCAAUACUACAAACGCUUGUGUCGGAGAGAUGGUCCAGUUGAACUGCAGCGCUGUUGGCAAGCCUGCUGAGAUCACCUAUAUUUUGAAAAUGAAUGGAAAGUUGAUGAGUCAGAAUGGAAUAUCUCUUGUUCGUCUUAACUCGCCAGUUGUACAUACGUUCGCGUGCAUUCCUAACAAUACUGCGGGAAGUGGUCAAGAGGCGAAUCUCACCAUCCCCGUAUCAGAGCCUCCAUCUAUAGUCCAGUUUCCCUCAAAGAAUAUCAUCCUUACGGAAGGAGAUAGUAAAGAAUUGAUGUGUAACGCUUCUGGUUCCCCAAGUCCAGCCGUGACAUGGUACAAACUAGGCAUAGACUGGGUGGAUCAAAAUGUAUCAAAACUUGCCCUGUCGACAAGAGAAGACACAGGCAGCUAUAGAUGUAUGGCGACUAAUGCUGCUCCCUGCAAGAACACGUCAUUUUCUUCUUGGAUCAAUGUUACUGUGCAUUACUUUGAUAUAGAAACAAGUGGGGUUGUAUGCUCCCCAUUCAACAUUACUGUCAGGACCAACUUGAACCCCACCCCAAGUAUCAACUGUACCUGGGGCAUAGGCGGGAGCGGCACAGUUAUCCAGGGAGUAAACACAGCGUCUGAUCAAGUGAUAUAUUCUGUAAAUGUGCAAGGCGGACAGACUACUAAUGUGACCUGCUCGCGUGGAAAUAACAAGAGAAUCUACACUGUCGUUUCAUCAUCAGAUAAAGCAGCUACUACAAAUGGCAGCAUUAGAUUUGCAAAUAUGAGCUUUCCACCAACUGAAGAAAACAAAACAAAUAUUAACAGAUUGUUUAAUGAAACCGUCCCGCCGUGUACUGGGAACGUGAAGGUUUAUGGGUAUAGACGAGGGAGUGUCAUUGUUGACAUGGCUAUCACGAUGUCAGAGAAAGUCGCGGAUCCUUUCGCUCUUCUCAAAGAUGCGUUUGUCGCGGCUGGUGCAACAUAUGGCUUGACCAUCGAUCCUACAGGCGUAAAGGCACAGCAAGCCAACCCCAGUGAUUCCACUACCAGUCCCCCAUCCCUGACCACCCAAGGCGCGCCCACCACCGCCGCCGCGGUCACGCCCAAAGAGGGUCUGACAGAUGUCGUAAUCGCCCUUAUCGUGGUCGGCGUCAUCGUCUUUUUGCUCAUAAUAUGCGGGCUGGUCUUUUGGUUCUGUGCGAAGAAGAAGAAAAAGAAAAGAGAUAUCGGUGCAGACAAUCUCGAAAUGUUCGCUAAUGGUACAGGAACAUCACCCUAUGCUGAGGUUGGACCAACAGCGCAUGCUAAUGGUGGCAGCGGCGUCGAGUCUCCUUACUCAGAAGUGGAACAGCGCAGAAACAAUGAUGAUACCCAAGGCGCAGGCGCAGAUGCCUACCCCCAGGUGGACAAAAGCAAGAAAUCAAAGCCCAAGGAGGAGAAGGAGAAGUUGCCAGACAUGAUGCAGCAACCUGACCCGAACGUCACAUACGCGCAAGUGGAUAAAUCCCUCAAGAAGAAAAACAGAGAAGAGCCCAUGUACGCCCAAGUUGACAAAAAAAAGAAAAAGCCGAAAAAGAAGCCAGGAGAACUAUUGUACGCGGAUCUCAGCGACUUCACUGAUGGUCCAAAGCCUAAGGGCGACGGGACUCUCGAGUUUGCGUCAGGCGAAGGCGUGAAAAGACCCGAGGCGUACCGAGAGACCGAUUACGCUGAGAUCUCUCAUGUGCUGAGAGGAAAAACGGAAGACACACAGCCUACUGCCAUGUGUUUCCCUCCCGGACCCCCAACGUUUGCUCUAAAGAAUUGCGACGUCAAAGAGACGUCUGUCCGUCUUCGCUGGACCCCACCCCUGAGCGACAAUGGCAGCCCUAUCCUCGAUUACAAGGUGGAAGUCAGCUCCGUCUUCGCGGCGGAGGGUAUCUCAAGUACCUCGAUCCUAAUUCCCGAACUUGAACCGAACACCAAGUACUUGGCCCGGGUUGCUGCGCGGAACGCCGCUGGCCUGGGUACCGCGGCAGAACAGUCUUUUACAACUAGGGGGAAAGGCGUUGAACCAGGACAAGGAAACGCGGCAUUUCAAAAUGAGGCAUACGAGCCUGAUCAAGCCCCGAAUGACAGUGGCAAAGCCACGGCAUAAAGCUCUGUCAAGCGCUGCUUGGACAAGGUGCCUGCUAGUUACCAAGACCCCUAACAGUUAACUUCCUACCCCCACCCUCCGCUGAUGGUCGCAGCACGUCUAUGACGACAGUUAGUACUUAAUAACCCUCUACUAACCGACGACAACCCGAUCGCUACCCGAGUACCUCCCGAUCACUACCCAAGUACUUCCCGAGCACGGUCCCAAACACCAUUCACCAGCGGUUGCAGCAUGUCUCUCUGGCGACAGCGAGUACGUUAAUAAUUCACCUCUACUAACCGAGAACAACCCGAUCACUACCCGAGUACUUCCUGAGCACGGUCCCAAACACCAUUCGUCAGCGGUUGCAGCAUGUCUCUGGCGACAGCGAGUACGUUAAUAAUUCACCUCUACUAACCGAGAACAACCCGAUCACUACCCGAGUACUUUCCGAGCACCGUCCCGAUUACCAUUCCAAGGCGGUUGCAGCAUGUCUCUGGCGACAAGUGUACUUUAAUGAUACACUCCUACUAACCGACAACAGCCCGAUUACUUUCCGAGCACCGUCCCGAAUUACCAUUCCAAGGCGGUUGCAGCAUGUCUCUGGCGACAAGAGUACUUUAAUGAUACACUUCUACUAACCGACAACAACCCGAUUACUUUCCGAGCACCGUCCCGAAUUACCAUUCCAAGGAGGUUGCAGCAUGUCUCUGUCGACUGCGAGCCUUUAUUCUCUACUAACCGACAGCAUUCCAACCACUCCCCGAGCAACGCGCAAGAUAGAGGCGGAUAUAACCAGCAUAUGUUAGCAUGAUGAGUUUUUUUUUUUUUUUUAUAACCAGAAUCACAGCACCUAAAGAGCGGACCGUCCAUUGUUCAAAAUUUUCAAAUAACACCCCAAAGAAAGUCUCAUUUUAUCUGAUUAGGGCGCUGUGCUUGUGUAAAAAGAGCACUGAGCAACGACUUUUUAAAAUCCGGACACUCGUCAAAAUAAGCAAAAUUCCACAAUUAUCUUUGUCCAGUUUCGAAAUCAACUGUGUACUGCUGGGCAAUUGUCUGAUUGGCUCAUUGGCACAUGUUAGCCUUGCAAAUCGACUACUAUGAGUAACUGCCUGGGUGGUCUUGCAGAAUUUACAAGAUUGUGCAUUGUUCUACGUUGUUGGAUUUCCGCUAAUGCUUCUUAUUUAGCAAUUGUGCAUUGUUCAAUUUGUACGCUGAAUUUGGAACUGGGUUUUACAUACACAAGUAUUAACCAUAGCACAUAACCAAGCUAGUGUGAUGAUAAUCAUUCAAAAUUUAAGACACUUGUGAAUGCCAUUUUUAGAAUUCAGUCAUAAAAUGACGUUUUUAGUGGCUCAGCAUUGUCCAGGUAAAGUUUUCGUUAUCAAAUAACGUAGAAGUUGCCAAAAGUGUCAUAUAUCAUAUAAUCAUAUAUCACUUAGCAGUUUUUUAUAGCAUAAAAAGUCAUGUUACUUAAAAUCGCGGAGAUUUGAAAAAUAACUUUUUAAGAAAAAAAAAUAUGUUAUUAUAACCCACACGUUUGCCAAGUUAAAAUAGUUUAUAUACAUUUUUGGUAAGAACUUUGACCAUCAUGGCAAGAUGAAACUAUAGGAGCCAAUGGGGUCUUCCCUAAACGGUUCAAUGGCAAACAAUAAAUAUAAACAUUUUUAUUAAAAUAUAUAAAUAUUAUACUUGUAUUUCCGAGCAGUAGAACACAAUUGCAUAGAACGUAUGGUAUUCACCUAAUUAAAAACGCUGUCAGUGGAAAUGGUGAUUAACAAAUGACAUUUUAACGGACCGAAACGAACCAUGAAUUUCAAUAUUUUUUAGCCAAAUGCAAAACCAUAAUGUCUGAAUUGUACGAUUAUCCAUUAAAGGUAAUUAAUAUGCGGUUUUGGCAUUAGUUUCAGCGGCGUAGCCAGGAUUUUUAACAGGAGGGACCCAAAGGGGACUUUCAAUGCAUUUUCUUCUGUAUUUAAGAUAAUGUCUAAUACAUUUACUGAAUUUUUGGCUGCUUAAAGGGGGGGGGGGGGUUGGCCACCCCCUUGGCCACGCCCCUGAUUUUAUAUCACCUUAAACGAUUAGUGCCCAAUGGUAAUUAGCUUUGUUGAAAUUGCCCAUAGCAUUUGCCCUUCGUCGUUUCCAAUGACAACGUUUCAAAGAAUGCAAAUAAAUUCAAGCUAAGAGAAAAA
This is an RNA transcript of Nematostella vectensis (starlet sea anemone), 6696 nucleotides long. It is a transcript of the gene named hemicentin-2, with no coding region annotated. Lineage: Eukaryota; Metazoa; Cnidaria; Anthozoa; Actiniaria; Edwardsiidae. The record is from RefSeq and is a predicted model, not a curated record. The transcript is spliced from 24 exons.